Molecule: ribosomal RNA, 652 nt
Filed under: uncultured bacterium
Lineage: Bacteria
Description: bacterial SSU rRNA
Rfam family: Bacterial small subunit ribosomal RNA
Source: RNAcentral
GCCCGCGCACCGGGAAUACGCUCUGGAAACGGAGAACAAAUCCCGAUGUACAGGAAGGAGGCAUCUUCUUUCUGUGAAACAUCCUUUCGGGGAUGGGGCGCGGAUGGACCUGCGGUGCAUUAGUUGGUUGGCGGGGUAAAGGCCCACCAAGACGAUGAUGCAUAGCCGGCCUGAGAGGGCGGACGGCCACAUUGGGACUGAGACACGGCCCAGACUCCUGCGGGAGGCAGCAGUAGGGAAUUUUCGUCAAUGGGCGCAAGCCUGAACGAGCGAUGCCGCGUGAGUGAAGAAGGCCUUCGGGUCGUAAAGCUCUGUUGCGGGGGGAAAAAGGCAGCAUCAGGAAAUGGGUGCUGACUGAUGGUGCCCCGCCAGAAAGUCACGGCUAACUACGUGCCAGCAGCCGCGGUAAUACGUAGGUGGCGAGCGUUAUCCGGAAUGAUUGGGCGUAAAGGGUGCGCAGGCGGUCCUGCAAGUCUGGAGUGAAACGCAUGAGCUCAACUCAUGCAUGGCUUUGGAAACUGGAGGACUGGAGAGCAGGAGAGGGCGGUGGAACUCCAUGUGUAGCGGUAAAAUGCGUAGAUAUAUGGAAGAACACCAGUGGCGAAGGCGGCCGCCUGGCCUGUUGCUGACGCUGAGGCACGAAAGCGUGGGG